RNAcentral lists this ribosomal RNA (455 nucleotides) under Euplotes focardii. RNAcentral describes it as "partial Bacterial large subunit ribosomal RNA". It matches the Rfam family "Bacterial large subunit ribosomal RNA", at positions 802 to 1254 of the family's 2925-position model. The record is from RNAcentral. Lineage: Eukaryota; Ciliophora; Spirotrichea; Euplotida; Euplotidae.
GGAUGAGCUGUGCCUAGGGGUGAAAGGCCAAUCAAACUUGGAAAUAGCUGGUUCUCUGCGAAAUCUAUUUAGGUAGAGCGUCAAUCGAAUACUCCGGGGGGUAGAGCACUGGAUGGGCUAUGGGGUCCCAACGACUUACUGAUCCUAACCAAACUCCGAAUACCCGGAAGUAAUAAUUGGCAGACACACUGCGGGUGCUAACGUCCGUAGUGGAGAGGGCAACAACCCUGACCUCCAGUUAAGGUCCCCAAGUCAUGGCUAAGUGGGAAAGGAUGUGAGAAUCCCAAAACAACCAGGAUGUUGGCUUAGAAGCAGCCAUCAUUUAAAGAAAGCGUAACAGCUCACUGGUCUAAAUAAGGGUUCUUGCGCCGAAAAUGUAACGGGGCUAAAGCCAUGCACCGAAACUGAGGGCACUAUUUAUAGUGCGGUAGCAGAGCGUUCUGUAAGCCUGCGAA